UACGUAGGAGGCAAGCGUUGUCCGGAUUUACUGGGUGUAAAGGGUCCGCAGGCGGGCGAUUAAGUCGGUGGUGAAAUCCUACAGCUUAACUGUAGAACUGCCUCCGAUACUGAUCGUCUUGAAUACGGGAGAGGGUGACGGAAUUCCAGGUGUAGCGGUGAAAUGCUUAGAUAUCUGGAAGAACACCAGUCGCGAAGGCUGUUACCUGGCCCGUUAUUGACGCUCAGGGACGAAAGCGUGGGUAGCAAACAGG
RNAcentral lists this ribosomal RNA (253 nucleotides) under uncultured bacterium. RNAcentral describes it as "partial 16S ribosomal RNA". It matches the Rfam family "Bacterial small subunit ribosomal RNA", at positions 524 to 776 of the family's 1533-position model. The record is from RNAcentral.